CCAAUGCCUUCAAAGAAUUGAUGGAAGCUAAGGGCACCAACAAGAGGCCUGAUGGUGUUUGGCCUCACAGAUGCACCUAAGGACACCCCAAUUAUCACUGAAUGCACCAAGAUUCCAAGCUCAAGGACCUGCAUGGCUGGAGAGGGACUUUAUGCUCUGAAGCACAAGUUAACACCCACUUUUUAGUACUAUUUGCAAGGGAGGUUCAUGGACAUCAAGGGACUGCACUUGCCUGAGAUACCACCCUGUGCCGGAUUGUGUCAGCUAUUGAAGCCUCCUCUGGUGAAUUGAUGCCAUCUGCCUCUCCGUGUGAAUGGCCA
Molecule: long non-coding RNA, 320 nt
Organism: Sorghum bicolor (sorghum)
Lineage: Eukaryota; Viridiplantae; Streptophyta; Magnoliopsida; Poales; Poaceae
Exons: 3
Source: RefSeq, a predicted model, not a curated record